This is a long non-coding RNA of Oncorhynchus tshawytscha (Chinook salmon), 2465 nucleotides long. Lineage: Eukaryota; Metazoa; Chordata; Actinopteri; Salmoniformes; Salmonidae. The record is from Ensembl.
AUUGACCAGAAGAGGAAGGGGAGGAAAAGGAGAAAGGAGAAGAGUAAAUUAAAAGAAAGAGGACCAGUCCCAAAAAACAUUCCCCUUCUCCCUUGCACAAACGGAAGUACUGAUUCCAUUCUCCAUGCCUCUUCCUUGUUCCUGGAAGUUCUUAUUUCACUCUCUGAAGUGCCAACUAAGGUUUUCUCUCUCAACUACCCACUGAAACUCAGGAUUAGCUAGAAGGACAGUCUUCUUCUGUUAAAUAAUGAAGGAUUUAUUUCAUACUGUGGGAUUUGAAGGGGAGCUGUGUGUGUAAUUGUGAUGGGCUCUCGGUACUGCCAAGAAAUACUGGAGCUCAGAAGACUAGAGCUAUGUCCUCCUCCUCUCCUCCCUCACUGUCUGAGCUGACUUCACUCUGGAGGUGGUAGGAAGACUCCGACAUAAAGAGAGACUUGUGUUUUACCCCAAUAGCCAGCCUCUCAGUGGCUGUACAGUACAUCUCUUCAGCUAAGGCCUCAAAGCACAUAAGAGCACAGAGUAACAGGAAACUGGAAUCUCAUCUCUUCUCCCUGUCUCCACUCUUCCUCCUCUGCAAAUUUGACUUGUCUGAUGCUACCUCUGUCUACACUACCCCAACAGACAGGCAGAUGGAUGGACGGAGGGAAGAGGCAGACAGACAGACAGACAGACAGGUAGAUAGACAGACAGGCAGACAGACAUGUAGACAGACGGACAGACAGGCAGACAGACAUGUAGACAGACGGGUAGAUAGACAGGCAGACAGACAGGUAGAUAGGCAGACAGAUAGACAGGUAGAUAAACAGACAGAAAGGUAGACAGACAGACAGGUAGGUAGGUAGAUAGGCAGACAGACAGGUAGAUAGACAGACAGACAGACAGACAGACAGGUAGAUAAACAGACAGACAGGUAGAUAGACAGACAGACAGGUAGAUAAACAGACAGACAGGUAGAUAAACAGACAGACAGGUAGACAGACAGACAGACAACGGGAGGGAAAAGACAGAAAACCAGCCCUGUGUUGCCAGCUGUUUUUUCUGUACAUUUAUAUUCUUCAAUCUACAGGGAACACAGAUCUGUAUGUAUUUCUGUAGGAACAAACACUUAGAGAGAAUGGAGACACGUCCGUUCCUCACCUGUACAUAUCAACUAGCUAUCUGUGGUUUACUGUAUAGUCUGCAUUCUGACCAUCAACACACUGUACUGGUUUGGACCGGGGCAUUGAGAGGGACAUGGAGUCACUGUCAUUAGGCCAGGCUACAUCUGAAGGAGAACUUAACAAGAGUCUGUUUUUUUGUUGGUUUUGGUUGACAGACAUUCCUCUAUACUUCUCCCGUAGUGCCCCCUUACUAGUCUGGUUGGCCUGUAGUGUGUCACAAUCAAGCCUAUAUAGCUGGCAUACACAGGGCUACCAUACACACACCUCUACCCCAUAACCAUACACACACUCUUACCCCACACACACCACUACCCCAUAACCAUACACACACUCUUACCCCAUAACUAUACACACACUCUUACCCCACAACCAUACACACACUCUUACCCUACACACACCACUACCCCAUAACUAUACACACACUCUUACCCCAUAACCAUACACACACUCUUACCCCAUAACCAUACACACACUCUUACCCCACACACACCACUACCCCACAACCAUACACACACUCUUACCCCAUAACUAUACACACACUCUUACCCCACACACACCACUACCCCAUAACCAUACACACACUCUUACCCCACACACACCACUACCCCACAACCAUACACACACUCUUACCCCACAACCACGCCUCCACUGAAACCUCUGCCAUUUUAAAUCCUACAACUAAUUACAGAUGCUUGUGACACUUUGACCAAAGCUGACAGCAAAACUGUACUGUUUUCCAGUACCACUUCAAAACAACAACGAAAAGCCAUCAUUAAUCAAGGACUCCAGGAUCACAUGACGUGGGUGAAAUCAGGAGCAUAUUGGUGAUUAGGAACCGUGUAGGUCUUAAAAGCAAUAGCAAAGGGAGUUACAACCAAACUUGGUCUCAGAGGAAAGAUCUGAAGUCGAAACAUGGCACCAUAAGGUUUGAGACAGCCGUCUUAAAGGAGAAUUCCACCCAAAAUGCACAGCUUCAUAAAAUGCCUCAUAACGGCUGUAUGUCUUUAUUUUGCGACAUUUCUAUAUAUUGGAAAACUUGAUUGUUGACAUACAAAACAUUUUGGGACUAUAUCAACAGUGGACUAAUAUAACAAAUACCACAAGAUUUUUUUUCUCUUUUGGAGGGGGGGUGGAAUUUUCCUUUAACUUCUCUAAAAGCAAUGGGCCGUCUCCUGCCUUUGGUAACUAGACGCUGAAGAGAAGGAAAGAAAGACAGAUGUUUUCUCUUCUCCUUCUCAAGGAAUGUUAAUUCUGUGAAAACUUUUAAAAUUCCAGUCGACGAGUCAUUUUAAUUCGGGUGGGUGG